Molecule: non-coding RNA, 72 nt
Organism: Saprolegnia parasitica CBS 223.65
Lineage: Eukaryota; Oomycota; Saprolegniomycetes; Saprolegniales; Saprolegniaceae
Source: the annotation of a RefSeq genome assembly
GGCCGCUUGAGCCGAGCGGUAUGAUUCUUGCUUCCACCUCCAGAGGUCGCCGGUUCGAUUCCCGACGCGCCG